Molecule: long non-coding RNA, 7341 nt
Filed under: Lactuca sativa (garden lettuce)
Lineage: Eukaryota; Viridiplantae; Streptophyta; Magnoliopsida; Asterales; Asteraceae
Description: long non-coding RNA (LSAT_LNC008873)
Source: RNAcentral
AUCUUAUAUGUCAAGGAGUCGGUGGGAGUCUUAAUGGUCUUGAAGGUUUUCAAGAACAAAUCAAAAUAGACCUUAUUGAUCAUCACUAGCACACAAGUUGAGGUUUACAACCUAUCGUGUUGACAUUAUUUUCUUUCUAUGCCGUUCCAAUAGAGUUAAUUAUGCAUGUGAGUCCUAUAAGUUAUCAUUUGAAUGCAUAAAAGGCAAGGACCUUGAUCAAUGGAAAGUACAUUGAUAAGAAAAGGUGAGCUGCUUAACUACUUGGAAGAAAUGGUGGGCAGCUGUGCUACCAUAAGGCAAGAAAUCGAGAUUAAGAAAGUUCGAUCCAUAUGAGUUUGAAUUUGUUGUAAACCUUGGUUUUGACAAAUUCACAUGGAUAGGAACAAAUACACCGUUUAAAUCUAAGUAUCAUAAGAUUUCCUCCUUCAUGAAAAUGAUUGUGAGGAAAUACUUUCACUAAGAAAGAUUUUAAGAAGAUACUGAUUGUAAAAUUGCAUUCUCGAAUUCAAAUAUGGUUACGAUAUCCCUUUCCAUAAUUUGAAUUGUGAGGUUUGGCAAUUGUUUAGACACACAUAUGAACUAUCUAAGGCAAAGGUGUAUAAGUUUAAGAGGCCUUGAUAAAAGAUUAUCAAAUCAUUAAGUAUUAGAAACAUGGACUUAAGAAAUUCAAUAGGUAUUGUUCUUCUGGAAGUUAGCUGUUUCUGAAUACAUGUCGAAGCUAGUGGGAGCAUAAGUGUUAUGUUUAUAAUAAUCAUCAUGAUAGUGGGAACAUAAAAGUUAUGAUUGUAUGAUUAUUAAGGCACAUAUUGCAAGUUGGCAAUAUUAAUUAUAGAAAAUAAGAGUUAUACCUUGCAAAGUCGUAAGGGUUGUAAACACUACUAGAAAAAGGCCUUUUACGAUGCUCAUUGCGCGUCGUAAAACACUCAGACGACGCGCAAAUGCGCAUCAAGGAAGGCCCUGUCAUAAAGAGAGACGACGCACUUUUGUGCUUCGUCUAUAGACGACGUGCAUUUAUGACACGCAAUUACGACGCGCAGUUAUGACGCGCAAUGCGUAUCAAGGAAGGCCCUGUCAUAAAGGAAGACGACAUGCAAAUGCGUAUCGUAACCAUACGACGCAUGUGUUUUAUGACACGCAAUGCGUAUCAAGGAAGCCCCUGUCAUAAAUGAAGAUGACACGCAUUUGCGUGUCGUAAACUUCAGUAACCAUUUUCAUAUGCAUUUACGACGCGUCUUUACAAUACUCAUUUACGCAUAAUACAAAAAUAUGUAAACAAAUAUAUACCGAAACAAUCAAUUUCAUCCAAUAACAUCAUGUCAAACAAGUUAUCAAAAAAAUUUAAUACAUUGAUAUUAAGGGGAUCUAAUUGUACAUUGUUAUUAAAGGGUUUUCCCUAACUAUAUAACAUGAUACUACAUCCCUAACUAUAUAACUGGAUCCUUCGUGUCAUUGGAUUGCCACCUGGAACUUUAGAAGUACCUUAUAAGCAAGUGGGCUUUGGAAUAAAUACACCACACUCGUUGAACCCAUGCUCCGAUAAUUCUUGUGACCUGAUCAAAUAAAAGUUAAAAAAUUAAUAUGAUAAUAUAAGUAUUAGAAGAAUCAAACAUGAAUGUUAGUGGUAAAAGACAAAAUUACCCUUUUCUCCAUCCAAAGAAUGUGGGAUUUGGAAUACAUACACUACAAUAUGAUUUACCUGAUAUCAACAAUGACAAUCACGGAUGUUGGACAACUUAUACGACACAUCUAAUGAUUUAAGCGUAAUCCACCAAAAGCUUUUAUCUCAAACUAGUAGAGGCAAUCAUAAGACAUUAUCUCUUUUAUUUUAAGCGGUAAUUCAAACAAAUAAGUUACAAGAUGGAGAUAAUUAUUUACAGUUAUUGGUGAUUCAAAUCAAAUAGGUGCACAAAAGAGAAGAUCAGCAAGUACCACUAGAUUGGCCGAGUGAAAAGGCUGAUAGCAAACAUUAGCCCUUAACUACCACUUCUGAAGAGAAAAUGACAACAUGUUCCCAAUUGAAUUCUCCUCACCAAUGGAUCCAAUCACUUCAACUACAAGACUUUCAUUCGGCCUGUAGUUGCAUCCAACUGCAUUCAAUUAAUAGAUUUAAUUUAAUUUAACCAAAUUAAUUAGCAUAUAAAAAUUUGUAACCUUAAUUAUAUGAAACAUAACAUGUGGGCCCUAUUAAUUCCUUUUUUAAUCAUUCUUUUUAUUUUAACACUUGUUUUCAUUUAAUAAAUAGAAUAGGAAGAUUAGUAUGAAAACAUAAAAUAGAAGGAUAUACUCAAAGCCAAAACAGUUGCACGCCUAACAUGCUGCCCAUGUUUAUCAAAAUUUAACAGAUCAUACUAAUAACUCAUACAUAUAGAAUUAUAAGGGAAAAAAGAGUAGGGUUUUCUCCAUUCCGUUGAUGAAGAAUUCCAUUCUUCGCCUGAUUCCAGCAUAUAUAGAGAUACUUACCCGAUCUUGAUCCUUGAUAAGCAUAAGAAAGGAGGAAAUUUCCGGGUACAGGACUGCAUCGAUCUUCUCUGGUCUUUCAACUAUUGAAUACUUCGCAGCAACAACAACUGUUGCCCUGGUGAAUGCAGCAGGACUAGUUGUUCGCUCCACUAAAACAGUUGCAGCAGGGCAUGAACAAGUUUUGAAGGCUUGAUCACCUGAAAAGAUUAAAAUGAUCUUGGUUGAAGUCCCAGAUUAGAUAAAUACAACAACAACAAUGCGUACAUAUAGAUGGAUAUUAAUAUGACUCUGUUGAAUUUGAUCAAAAAAAGAAGGCGGAUGGAUGUAUCUCAAUGUCGGAUUUUAGAUUUUUCAGGCCUAUUUCGGGGAAUAGCCAGGAUGGCUACAAGUGUACUAGAAAAGGUUGUAACUGCUGCGAUAGCAAAGGCUGGAGAAUUCCCCCCUCCAAACAACUGGUCCCAUGGUCCACUUCAAGGAGACACCAGCAUCUAUUAUCAAUCAAACAACAUAAACCUCAUCUUUUAUUACCAAACCAACCCUAAAUAAAUAACUAACACAACUGUUGACAUCUCUCCUCUUCUCUUGGCUAAUAUGAAACAAGCCUUUAAUUUGGUGUCCCAAUCAAUAAAAAAUAUUUUAGGAAUUUCAUCCUUUCUUUUCUUCAAUGUCUGUUUCUUUGGUAACUAUAAAUGAAUGGAAUGGAUCUAUCAUUUCUAUUCUAUUCCAUUCUCAUCUUAACUUCACUUGCUUCAAGGAGUGUAAUAACAUUAUCUAUAAGUACAAAACUAAAUAAAAUGAAUUCUUGCCAAAUAUACAAAAUUUCUAAUUUUUUAGUAUAAACUUUAAUNGUGCUUUAAAUUAUUACAGAAAUAAAAGUAAUGCUUGAUUCCAUUCCAUUCCUUUCUGACAAACAAUCUUAAUUUUUUCACUGAGCCAUAAUACUUCAUUCUAUUCCCUCAAUUACAACAUACCAAACACUACCUUAGAGUAUGGAAAGAUGUUAGUCAAAUAUUUGGAGGGUGGUGGGGAGACUAGUCUAUGUCAUUGUAAUAAAGUCAUGCUGUGGAAAAAAAAUUCUCUUUGUUGGCUUAUUUAGAUCUGUGGUCAUUUUGUGUUGCUUUCUAGUGGAGGAGUUACUGAAAAUCUUUGAGAUCACGUGCCCAACAGCAUUGUAGCUGCCAAUCCAGUUGAACCCUUGUGCACAUGUCACAAAAUUAAUAAAAACUAUAUAUGUUACUAUUUGAUUGAUGGUUUUAAUUUUUAAUGUGAAAGUAAGGUGUAAGAUUAGGGUGAUGUGUACUUACAAAGCUAUAAGGAAAAAUACAAAGAAACGUGUGCUUUGGAACAAUGCAGACCAUGGGAUUGACUUCCCUUUGUAAUGGUAAAAUAGAGAUAACCCUCCAGCCAAAGUUAAGGCAACAGGAAAACCAAAGGACAAAUACCCCAAGGAAACUUUGGGGUCCGCUGGAUACUUGCAGAUAACUAUGGCUUUUCCUGUUUUGUAGUAAUUGUCAUUGCACCUUAAAGACGUAGAUUCCCUGCAAUUAAAAUUGAAUGAAGAGUUUAAACAAAGGGAAAAACCAAGAAAUCAAAAGCUUAUUUCAAAAAAGGCUGAAACUUAAGGAUGUUGUUAUUGUUGAUCAAUUACUUGUAUUUCAUAUUUCUAUUUUGGAAAAAGAACCAGAAAAAAGACACCCGUGUUUAUUAAAAAAAAACACCUAAAUUUAGUCUCUAAACGCGCUGCAAUUCCUACACCUCAAACAACCUAACAACAAGAGAAGAAGAAAGAAAGAAUACACCCAUCUGUGUAAAAAGACGUAAACACCCUCCUCAUCCUCAUCAUAAAAAAAUAGCCUAACAACAAUAGAAGAAGAAAGAAAGAGAAUACAAGUAACUAACAAGCACAUUGGGCCUAUGUUAAGGAGCCUUUAUCAUUUUUAUCAACAGAUUGAUUAGCUAAUCUUUCCAUUUCUGCCCUUUGAAAAGCUGGAGGCUCUGAACCAUAAAGUCCACCACAAAACUCCAAAUAACAAUAUUUACAAAGCACAAAACCUGAUUGAACUGCAUUGCUUUUCUAUUGACAAACAACUUCUGUUAAUCCAGGCAUCUUUAACUCCUUUGAACUCUGUUUGCAUGAUUGCAUUUCCUUCUCAUACUCCUUUGUUUUACUAGUAAACUCAUCAAUCUUUUAAAAAAAUCACAUCAAACUCAAAUUUACAAGAUGAACAAAUUAUGAAUAUACACAUGAAAACUCACAGAUAAACUCUAGCUUCUGUAUUUUCAAACUCAAUCAAUUUCUUUUGCAAUGUUGCUUCACAUAUAUGUACAGUUUUAACUUGAAAAUAAUACAAGUAUAUAAAGAAAUGAGUUAGAAACUUUUCAUUCAUAGUAUUAUAUUGACAAAAAAAGGUAAUUAAAUGCAUUGAUUUAGAUAUAAGUCAUACGUACAACAUCCCCUCUUGAAAAAUUAUGUCCAUGUAACACAGAAGAAACAUAUAUUGCUGUUGCACAUAUCCCACUAGGUUUUCUACAUGUCUGUAUAAUAUAUAUAAAAUAUAAAAAAUAAUUUGAUGUAAAAAAUAUAAAAAUAAUAAUAGUAUUCAUAAAGAGGGAGAACUAUGUGCACCUCGUGCACCGCUGAUAGUUGGUGGAUGUCUGAGACUCCAACUGAUAAAGAUACAAUCCAGCAAAAGCAAGAUGUGAGGGCUUCCAUGAAGCAAUUGAAUAGCCAAUCCCCUGAACCAAAUAAAAAUUUUAUUUAAGAAAUGAAGAAAAAGGGAUUUAACAAGAAUCGGAAGUUUGUUCCUUCAAUCAUAAAUCAAAUGGAGAAAAAAUAAGCCGGGAAGAAAACGGGAUUUAGAAAGAGGGGGAGCAAUGUACUCAAUCCCUUCUCCCUUGAUAUCUAGGACCCUUUCCAGGGCCUUUCCAGUGCUCUCUGCAACCUUCCCGAACCAUCACACGAAACAGAAGCAAUUGCCAACGCCAGAAUCGACAGGAAGGAGACGCCGGAGGCGCACAUUUUCAGGGCGGACUUGCCUGGGUUGAAGAAAGAGGAGGUAAAGGUGGAGGUUAAAGAAGGAAGGUUGUUGCAGAUAAGCGAAGAGAGGAGCAAGGAGCCUGAGGAGAAGAACGACAAGUGGCAUUGGGUUGAGAGGAGCUCUGGAAAGUUCUAAGGUCGUCGGACCUGAUGUUGCCGGCAUGGGGAGGCGAGGUGAGAUCUUUAUUCGUGAUCAAGGAUAGGUUGCAUAUGUUGAAUAGAGUUAUCAGUUGUUGGACGUGUAUAGCAGAGAUGGUAUCGUGAUUAGGGUUUGCAGAGAGAAGGAAGAAGAGAAUGAAGGGGAUCUUGAAGCGGGGCAUUAAAAAAUUUAAGAAUUUUGAGUGGAUUUCAUUUCCCCCUUUAAAGAACGCGCGUUUUGAGUAAAACAUAAAGCGACAUUCACAAAGGACGCGCAUUUUAGAUAAAGUGCCCUCCGUGUUUUUAUUUUUUUUACAUGAGACACUAAUUUAAGGUCACGCAAUAAUGCGUGACAUAAAUCCUUAAAUUUUUUGAAGAGACGACUCUUUUUGAUGUCACUCUCUUUUGCGGAACAUAAAUCAAUGAGUGUCGUGGUUUGCGCGUCGUAAAAGGCCUUUUUUCUAGUAGUGAAAGUUGUUUUGCUAUAAUUAAGGGAGAGAAUAUUAUGCUUCAUUUCAAAUAUAAAGGAUUAGGUUGAGAAAUGUUAAUAAGUUUAGUCAAGGGUAUAUAGUGUGUUCUUAAAAUUUCGAUUAUGAUUACGGCAUUCCUCUUCACAAUUCGAAUUUUGAGAACAUAGCAAAUAAAACAUUAUGCAUCGUGCCCCAUACGCUUCGGGUAUAGGAUCGAUUGAAAAUGCUUUAAUGUUUGACCAUUCUAAAAUUUUCCAAAUGUCGAGCGCAUUUAGAGGGAAAAGGGACUAGAAUUGGUUUUGACUAAAAUAAUUAAACAACUAUCAAAGGACAAUCCAAAGUUUGACGAGGAUUGGUCGCUUGUGAGUAGUUGGAAGCAUGGUAUUGGAUGGACCAUAUCGACAUUAUUAUGAAUAGAAAAGAUUCUAUUAAGAAUGAGUUGUCAUAUGGAAAUUAUGGAAAUGUUUCCAUAUUGGAUGGACCAUAUCGACAUCAUUACGAAUAGAUAAGAUUCUAUUAAGAAUGAGUUGUCAUAUGGAAAAUAUGGAAACGUGUCCAUAUUGGGAAUUGAAUAUUGAAAAUCUAUGUCUAGAUUAGAAACUUUUAUGCAAAAGGAUGUUCAAAGGAAUGUACUUUGAGUGAGAGACAUCAUAUCUAAGGAAUUGUCUUGUAACAAUGUCCAAUAGAGGACUUUGUAAUAUCAUUGGCAAUAGUCUUUGUGACUUUGGUGCAGUGACAUUACGAAAGGAUCAUUGCAUAGAAUGUUAGAAUCUAGCAUAUUUUAUAAGUAACAAGAAUUUGAUAUUCUCACACUUAUGAAAAAGGAUUUGGAGUUGUGAAAUGAGAAUGAUUGGAAAUGUGUUCAAUUUGAUCUAUUUCACAAAAGUAAGAACCAUAGGUAAACAUUGUGUGCAUGCUAAGAGCAUGGGACAAGUGUAAUAAUUCAAGUAAGAAGUUGAUUACCCGAAACGACAAAUAAUGAGUAAUCGAUAUGGUGAUAAAUAAAAGGAGUUUUAUUUAUACUCAAAGGUUUGAGGCAAAAUGGGAUUAGUAUUAUUCUUGUGUUUCACAUUUGCAUGUUUUGACUUCCAGAAUAAUUGAGUUUAUUAAGAAUAAUCGAAUUAUUCGAACGGGCCACAGUCGUUCAUAUGUUGGAAGUAGAUAUGAAUGAAGACUGUCGUGAAUUGGUGUGUGGAUUGUCUAAAAGAGUAUUAGACAUAAGCAAAUGUUUGCUGC